Molecule: ribosomal RNA, 776 nt
Filed under: uncultured Neocallimastigales
Lineage: Eukaryota; Fungi; Neocallimastigomycota; Neocallimastigomycetes; Neocallimastigales
Description: partial large subunit ribosomal RNA
Rfam family: Eukaryotic large subunit ribosomal RNA
Source: RNAcentral
CGUCUAUAUACGUAUAGCAUAUCAAUAAGCGGAGGAAAAGAAACUAACAAGGAUUCCCUUAGUAACGGCGAGUGAAGCGGGAAGAGCUCAAAUUUGAAAUCUUCAAGGUUCUACCUUGACGAAUUGUAGUUUAAAGAAGUGUUUUCUGUUAGAGGAGUAGCAAAAGUUCCUUGGGAUAGGACAUCAUAGAGGGUGAGAAUCCCGUAUUUGGUUAUUCUUUCUAGCUUUGUGAUACACUUUCAAAGAGUCGGAUUGUUUGGGAAUGCAGUCCAAAAUGGGUGGUAAAUUUCAUCUAAAGCUAAAUAUUGGCGAGAGACCGAUAGCGAACAAGUACCGUGAGGGAAAGAUGAAAAGAACUUUGAAAAGAGAGUUAAACAGUACGUGAAAUUGUCAAAAGGGAAGCGUUUGACACCAGUGUUGUUUUUCCGAAAAUCAAUUAAGAGUGGCUUGAUUUUGUGUUGUAUUGACCUUAUCAGCUUUCUUCACUCUUUUUCGAGUCUUUCUUAAUGCACUUUUCGGUUAACAAGUCAACAUCAAUUUCUUUUGUUGUAAAAAGGGUAUUUGGAAGGUGGCUUUCUUUUCGGAGAAAGUGUUUAUAGCCUUAUACCUCUACAAUCGGAGAGAUUGAGGUCUGCAGCGUAGAUCCUUCGGGGCUAGAUACACUUGUGCUAAGUUAUAGCUUUUCAUAGACAACUUGUUGACUAUGUUUAGUCAUGUAGCUUACCCGCUUGUGCUAUUUUACCUACGCUUAGGAUGUUGAGUCAUCACACAUCUCU